UGCCACUACAACUAUUUUAAGCAGAAAGUAGGUUUAAAGCUAAACUAUUUUUAUUUCUUGUAUUUUAGAAUUUAGUUUAUACAUUAAAUUUAAAGCACUUGAACUUGCUAAAAUGAAGUAAAUUAAUUUUACAGCUAUAUCAUUAUUAUUUCUAAGUCCAUCCAUUCAGUCUUCUGAGUGGGUUAAUGAUAUAAAUGUAAUCUAGUAGCAUGAAUAAGAUUGGACAAUCCCCACAAAGAAGACUGAGCAAAAAGUUCAUGAUGCCUGAUCACUAAAAUUCCAGAGAGCAUUAGACUACUAAAUUUAAAAAUUUUCAAUAAGUAUUAAGAAUAAAAAUAAAAUGAUUUAUUAAUAAAGUAUUAUUUAUUUUAAAAUUAUUUACUUAAUUGAUUUAUUUUAAAAACUGUGGAAGUAAUAAGUAUUUAUUUUAUCAUACACAAACAUUGCAGGAGCACACAGAAUAGGAAGCAAACAUUCCCUAUCCCACAUAGUAAAUAUGCUUGAACAUGAAUGUUGGCACUUGGUAUGUAUAAUUCUGUAGGAAACAGCUUGAGGCAGAGAUAGCUGGCUGUUCCUAAUAUUUUUCCCCCUUUUCUACUCUUUUAGAACUUUUAGUGGGGCAUAUAGUUGUCCAGAAUGAAGACUUCAUUUCCCAGCCUGCUUUGUUUCUUUUUAUGGCCACAUAACUAAAUUAUGGACAGUGGAUUGCUAACGGAAGUAUUUUGUACCAAUUUCGAGAAACAUUUUUUUUCAGAGACAAAUGGCACGUGCACGCUGCUCCUCUUUUCUUCAUUUGUUCCUCUGUCCUGCUGCCUGAAAUAACGAUUGCAGGAAUACGUUAGG
RNAcentral lists this long non-coding RNA (843 nucleotides) under Homo sapiens (human). RNAcentral's name for it is "HSALNT0094328". The record is from RNAcentral. Lineage: Eukaryota; Metazoa; Chordata; Mammalia; Primates; Hominidae.